Molecule: long non-coding RNA, 1442 nt
Organism: Bacillus rossius redtenbacheri
Lineage: Eukaryota; Metazoa; Arthropoda; Insecta; Phasmatodea; Bacillidae
Exons: 3
Source: RefSeq, a predicted model, not a curated record
UCAAACUAAUAAAAAAUUUCAACUUGUAAAAUACAUAAAACGUUUGAUAUGGAAAAAUAACUUUAUUGACAUCCUGGAGAAAAAUAGCGUAUAUCUUAAUGAGAAAAAAGCAGGACCAAAACUUUUUCCCGUGUUUGCGAUAUAAUCUGUGGUGACUGUUAAUUGUCGCGAUUUGGGGUUAUGUUACGAGGGGAAAAAAUGUAAAUAGCGGAAUUGAUCGUUACAUAUUUUACCUGACGUUCAUAUUACUUAAAUUAACUCAUGAGUAGUGUUAAAGUAGGUUUUUUUUUUUAAAUUUUUUAGGUCAUAUUAACAAGCAUCGCAUGCCCAUAUUUCAUCAAGAGAAACGGCGGCAUAACAAGUUCAAGCCUCCAAGACAGCCGCAGCUCAGUGGAGGGCGGGCGAGCGGCUGGCUGUUCGCACUGCGGCAGGCAACUGCUCCCUGAUGAUGGCGACUGCAACGUCAACCAAAAUGUUGGUGAUAUCUUCACCUUCAAUGCGGCUACAACCCAGAAGCCAAACAACUCCAGACAAUAGCAGGGAACGCCUGUGAUCUUUAUUAAUUUUUGUGAUUGGAUAAAAGUGAGGUCACCAGACCAUGUGGUUUUUUCCUAGAGUAAUCUCUGUUCAAAAAACCCCUGCUACAAGGGGUCAGAAAUUGUAUACUGCUAUGGUUUUGUAAGGGCUUUGCUGUGAUUGGACGAGAAGUCACGCACCUGCAACUUCUGUCAGGCAGAUGCGACUGUGAAGCCUUGUUCAUUUUAGUCUGAGUCUGUGCUAGGUACAGAAAGGUCGCAGUUGGGUGAGGACUCAUAAAUAAUUAUGUAAGUUUAUACCGCAUACAAUAAACUUUUUUUUCAUUUUUGGAACUUUUAAACUAGAAUUUUUCAUCCAGAGUGGUCGGUAAGAGCCCAAUACAAGGAUCGGGUGAACUCUGUCUUUGUUCCGUACUGUGAGUUCGUGUGUAACCACAGAACUUAACUAUGAACUAUCCUUAAAUAUUUAUCCUUUAGUGUUUAGUAUGUGCAAACUGUCAACGUGUUUGGUUUUGGAGUUGGAGAAGAGGUUUUGUAUCCUCUUCAUGUACUUUUUUUUUGUGGCUGCAUAAUGGGUGCCAUGAUGACUGUGAAUUUUCUUCUAGUUUAAUAAAAUUACAUUAAAAUCAGUUGAUACUAACAACAGUAUCUGAAAAAUAUAUACAUAAUUUUCAGCACCCAACUCAUGUUUUCAAGUGUUAAUGAACUAUGUAUGUCCAUUCCUAGGUCAAACAUUUGCUAGCCGGGUGGUAUGGGGUGUGAUAAGAUAAACUCAUCACAUAUUCUUUAUGGUAACCAGUACCAGCUUUACCAAAACAAGAUACAGUGAAAUCUAAUUACAACAUAGUCAAACCUCGCUCGUACGGCCCCCGGUUCAUACGUACACCUCGGUCGUACGUACAGAUU